This is a long non-coding RNA of Perca fluviatilis (European perch), 659 nucleotides long. RefSeq lists it as uncharacterized. The transcript is spliced from 5 exons. NCBI's taxonomy places the organism in Eukaryota, Metazoa, Chordata, Actinopteri, Perciformes, Percidae. The record is from RefSeq and is a predicted model, not a curated record.
CGCUCUACACCAACCCUCAUCAGCAGCUGCUCUUUAUCUGGAGCGUUCUAGAUUUCGGGGGACUGGCCUGGAGACUGAGACUCUUCUGCUUGAGGCUGCUGCAUGUCAUGACAUGUGCCUGAUGUAUAAAUAGACCCAUGAUGUUGCACCACCACCACUCAAGCAAUGUGUGUCAUGUUGCAGAGAUAAUGAGCACUCUGUUUUUCGGGGGACUGGCCUGGAGCCUGAGACUCUUCUGCUUGAGGCUGCUGCAUGUCAUGACAUGUGCCUGAUGUAUAAAUAGACCCAUGAUGUUGCACCACCACCACUCAAGCAAUGUGUGUCAUGUUGCAGAGAUAAUGUAAGGCUCUGCAGUGCUUCUGUAAGAGGUGACUGUUACACUCAAUUUAGGAAUACUACAUUUGGUCAUUCAGCUUUUUGGUCAAUCAGCUUUUUCAUUUACUGUAGUAGAAAAGUGGAAUUUAAUUCCACUUCAUAUUAAAGAUUGUGCAAGUCUUAGCCAUUUUUAAAUGUCCUUAAAGACUUGGCUGAAGGUGAAUUAGCUAUGUGAUCAUUGAUCUUGUAAUAACAUGGAAUGUAUAUUUUGUAUUCUGGUUUAUAUGUGACGUAAUGGUUGUUAUAUGUUGUUUAUUGUUAAGUUUCUAUCUGUUUUGAUAGUA